Molecule: ribosomal RNA, 406 nt
Filed under: uncultured bacterium
Lineage: Bacteria
Description: partial 16S ribosomal RNA
Rfam family: Bacterial small subunit ribosomal RNA
Source: RNAcentral
AUUGAACGCUGGCGGCAGGCCUAACACAUGCAAGUCGAACGAGUGGCGGACGGGUGAGUAAUGUCUGGGAAACUGCCCGAUGGCGGGGGAUAACUACUGGAAACGGUAGCUAAUACCGCAUACCAGCGGAUGUGCCCAGACGUGAGUAGCUUGUCGGUGAGGUCACGGCUCACCUAGGCGACGAUCCCUAGCUGGUCUUAGAGGAUGACCAGCCACACUGGAACUGAGACACGGUCCAGACUCCUACGGGAGGCAGCAGUGGGGAAUAUUGCACAAUGGGCGCAAGCCUGAUGCAGCCAUGCCGCGUGUAUGAAGAAGGCCUUCGGGUUGUAAAGUACUUUCAGCGGGGAGGCGUUACCCGCAGAAGAAGCACCGGCUAACUCCGUGCCAGCAGCCGCGGUAAUUC